UACGAAGGGUGCAAGCGUUACUCGGAAUUACUGGGCGUAAAGCGUGCGCAGGCGGUUUUGUAAGUCUGACGUGAAAGCCCCGGGCUUAACCUGGGAAUUGCGUUGGAGACUGCAAGGCUUGAAUCUGGCAGAGGGGGGUAGAAUUCCACGUGUAGCAGUGAAAUGCGUAGAGAUGUGGAGGAACACCGAUGGCGAAGGCAGCCCCCUGGGUCAAGAUUGACGCUCAUGCACGAAAGCGUGGGGAGCAAACAGG
This 253-nucleotide ribosomal RNA is filed under the name uncultured bacterium. RNAcentral describes it as "partial 16S ribosomal RNA". It matches the Rfam family "Bacterial small subunit ribosomal RNA", at positions 524 to 776 of the family's 1533-position model. The record is from RNAcentral.